AAGAACAGAACCAUCUUUUUCUUCUUUCAAAUUUAAUUCCGUAAGAGAAAUUCAAGUAGUAGCUGCAAUACCUUAAAAGAAAAGGUGAAUUCUUCGAUUCUCUAUCUCUCUAUGAUUUUAACUUGAAGAAAAUUUCUGUUUUGAAAUCUAGGGUUUCUUCGAGAAUUUGGAGAUUUUAUGCUAGAGUUAAAAUAUGAUUGUAAUAUUGAGAUAUAUUAUGUUUUUGAUGUUCCUAAGCAUGAUUAUGGUGGUUAAUUGUAUUAAUUCUUACUUGAUUUCGAGUUUACUCAAGUUAGUAUGAACCCUAGGUUUGAGGUUGAGAGUUUUGAUUAUGUUCUUGAAUAAUUGGACUCAUAUAUGUGUUCUUGAGUUGGAAUUAUGUCAUAUAUGAGUAAAUUACGAGUUUACACCAUAUAGGAUGUGAGAUUGAGUUUGUUAGUUUAAUGAAAAUUGGGGCUUUUGAGAUAAGAAGGUUUAUAUGCUAUUUAUUGAUGGAUGUAGAUAUAUUAUGAUGUGAUUUUAUCAAAUAUAUGGAAAUUAGAACAGCCCUAAUGUGUGGAAAAUUGUUAUAAGAAUUGUUAUGUUGUAACUUGUUGGCUUUGUUGUGUUAAACAUGAGUUAAGUUUGAAGUUAAAGCAUUCUAGUAUGUAUUAUGAUCGUGUAUUUGAGUCUACACAUUUUAUUUGGCCAAAGUAUGAGUUAUAUGUUGAAUUGAAACAAAGAAUACAUUGAUGUCAGUUUUUAACUUGGCAGAGCAGUGUCUUGGGGGAUGAUUUUAAUGAUGUUCCCAUAGUCCAAAUGAGUUGAAAUUUUUACUGUAAUAACUUUAUCAUGAGUAGUACGUUUCUGCAAAAUUUCAGCUAAAUCCGAGACCAUUAGAUGUGUCAAACGAGUUUCUGAAAUGUACUGCGCGAAGCAGCGAAGUUCAGUGGCAGAUUUUGCCUUUUGUGAGAUAAUUUCAUAUACACUUGAGAUAUUGUAUUUUUGUAACUUUCUAAUAAAAAUAGACUCUGAG
This 1015-nucleotide long non-coding RNA is filed under the name Salvia miltiorrhiza (redroot sage). RNAcentral describes it as "long non-coding RNA (SMIL_LNC000754)". The record is from RNAcentral. Lineage: Eukaryota; Viridiplantae; Streptophyta; Magnoliopsida; Lamiales; Lamiaceae.